UGAGGAAUAUUGGGCAAUGCCCGAAAGGGUGACCCAGCAACGCCGCGUGGAGGAUGAAGGUCGUAAGAUUGUAAACUCCUGUUAGAGGGGAAGAAUAACUAAGUUUGGAGCUUAGUAUGACUGUACCCUCAGAGAAAGCCCCGGCUAACUACGUGCCAGCAGCCGCGGUAAUACGUAGGGGGCAAGCGUUGUCCGGAUUUAUUGGGCGUAAAGCGCGUGUAGGCGGUUUGUUAAGUCUGAUGUGAAAGCCCCGGGCUCAACCUGGGAAGUGCAUUGGAAACUGGCAGACUUGAAUACGGGAGAGGGUAGUGGAAUUCCUUGUGUAGGAGUGAAAUCCGUAGAUAUUAGGAGGAACACCGGUGGCGAAGGCGGCUACCUGGACCGAUAUUGACGCUGAGACGCGAAAGCGUGGGG
Molecule: ribosomal RNA, 414 nt
Filed under: uncultured bacterium
Lineage: Bacteria
Description: bacterial SSU rRNA
Rfam family: Bacterial small subunit ribosomal RNA
Source: RNAcentral